AGCUGUGUACCUUGAAAGACACCAACCUCUUUCUGGGUGUGAAAGAAAGAGGCAUUACAAAGCUAGCAGAGUAACGCGGCAGAGAAGUCGACCUCUUAUCCGAGCUUUGAAUGGGUGGAAGGCAAGUCUGAAUAGAAUUGCAGGAUGAAGCAAAGGAGGCAGGGAAAGAAGUGGAUGGGAAACAUAAAGAAUGCGAGGAAAAUCUAAAAACAUCAGCCAUUUAGAGACAAAAACGCAGAAAUUCUACUUCCAAACACAAUCUGUGUCCCCCCAAGAAGAAGAUGAUGAGAAGAUGAUGAGGUAAACAGCAUGGGGGGAGAAACGAAAAGGGCAAUCGAGAGAGAAGUAGAAGGAGAAGGGUUGUUUAUAAUUGUGGCUAUAAUUGUGCGCGUGAAUUGGAGAGAUGCUUUUACGCUUUACACGAUUGUAAGGGUGACUGCAACAAUUGGUAAUCAAUCCGCCAUUUUAACCCAAUCACAGUGCUCUACGGUUUUGCUCUUCCUUGCCAAUCAUCUCUCGUCUUGUCGGUGAUGAGAUUUUUCUGCUUUGACCUAACCAACACG
Long non-coding RNA from Cucurbita maxima (winter squash), 563 nucleotides. RefSeq lists it as uncharacterized. The record is from RefSeq and is a predicted model, not a curated record. Lineage: Eukaryota; Viridiplantae; Streptophyta; Magnoliopsida; Cucurbitales; Cucurbitaceae. The transcript is spliced from 3 exons.